This 440-nucleotide ribosomal RNA is filed under the name uncultured bacterium. RNAcentral's name for it is "bacterial SSU rRNA". It matches the Rfam family "Bacterial small subunit ribosomal RNA", at positions 338 to 794 of the family's 1533-position model. The record is from RNAcentral.
CCUACGGGGGGCAGCAGUGGGGAAUAUUGGACAAUGGGCGCAAGCCUGAUCCAGCCAUGCCGCGUGGGUGAUGAAGGCCUUCGGGUUGUAAAGCCCUUUCGCCGGGGACGAUGAUGACGGUACCCGGAGAAGAAGCCCCGGCUAACUUCGUGCCAGCAGCCGCGGUAAUACGAAGGGGGCAAGCGUUGUUCGGAAUCACUGGGCGUAAAGGGCGCGUAGGCGGCCGGCUUUGUCGGGUGUGAAAGCCCCGGGCUCAACCUGGGAGGUGCACUCGGGGACGGGUCGGCUGGAAUCCGGAAGAGGAUGGUGGAAUUCCCAGUGUAGAGGUGAAAUUCGUAGAUAUUGGGAAGAACACCGGUGGCGAAGGCGGCCAUCUGGUCCGUGAUUGACGCUGAGGCGCGAAAGCGUGGGGAGCAAACAGGAUUAGAUACCCCUGUAGU